Molecule: long non-coding RNA, 744 nt
Filed under: Triticum aestivum (bread wheat)
Lineage: Eukaryota; Viridiplantae; Streptophyta; Magnoliopsida; Poales; Poaceae
Description: long non-coding RNA (TAES_LNC027406)
Source: RNAcentral
GGAUACACAAGCAAGCAUUGGCAAUUUGGAGACUUGUAGAUCUGGACGACUAGUUAGGAAGAAGACCAAGGAAGUCAACAGCCUCUACUCGUAGAUUUGGUAAGUCUCUUCUUUUCGGUGUUUCUUCUUCAUGAUGAUUACUUUGAGAAAUCUAGCUUGAUGCAUAUGUUUGAAGCGGUUGAUCUUUAAAUAGCUUGAUGUACAUUGCUUUCUUAUUCUGGUGCUCUAAUGUGUAUGCUCACUGUGUAAUGAUCAGUACUCUUGUUCUAAUUGCUACUUGUCAAUUAUCGUGUAGUACUGUUGUAAUUUCUACUUAUCUUCUUGUAUGGCUGUUGUAAUUGCUACUUAUCACCUACUAGUGUUGUUCCAAUUGCUACCACUCACCUACUAGUGCUGUUCUAAUUGCUACUUGUCUCUUAGUAGUGCUAUUCUAGUUGCUACUUAUCAUGUAGUAGUGUUGUUCUAAAUGCUACUUAUCACUUGUAUUUGUCUUUUAAAUGGUACCUAGCUGGAGCUUGGAGCUAGCUGGAGCUUGGAGCAUGAUGCUAGUUGGAGGCUUGGAGCAUGGAAGCUGGAGCUAGUGAUGAUUUCUUUUGGAGUUGUUGUUCGUUGUGAUGCUUUGAUGGUUGCCUUUUGCUGUUCGGUGUGAUGCUUUGAUGGCUGUCUUUUGGAGAUGUUUCUAUGCGAAGUCCUUUAAAUUCCUAGAGUUGGUUGUACUGAAGUAUUUAAACUUUGAACUAUGAU